GUCCACGCCGUAAACGAUGGAUACUAGCUGUUGGGCGCAAGUUCAGUGGCUAAGCGAAAGUGAUAAGUAUCCCACCUGGGGAGUACGUUCGCAAGAAUGAAACUCAAAGGAAUUGACGGGGGCCCCGCACAAGCGGUGGAGCAUGUGGUUUAAUUCGAUGAUACGCGAGGAACCUUACCAAGGCUUAAAUGUAGAUUGACAGAUUUGGAAACAGAUUUUUCUUCGGACAAUUUACAAGGUGCUGCAUGGUUGUCGU
RNAcentral lists this ribosomal RNA (256 nucleotides) under uncultured bacterium. RNAcentral describes it as "partial 16S ribosomal RNA". It matches the Rfam family "Bacterial small subunit ribosomal RNA", at positions 793 to 1055 of the family's 1533-position model. The record is from RNAcentral.